GAUGAACGCUAGCGAUAGGCUUAACACAUGCAAGUCGAGGGGCAGCACAAGGUAGCUUGCUAUCUGGGUGGCGACCGGCGCACGGGUGCGUAACGCGUAUGCAACUUGCCCUAUACAGGAGGAUAACCCGUCGAAAGACGGACUAAUACUGCGUAUGCUCACAACUUGGCAUCAAGUGGUGAGGAAAGAAAUUCGGUAUAGGAUAGGCAUGCGUCCCAUUAGCUUGUUGGUGAGGUAACGGCUCACCAAGGCAACGAUGGGUAGGGGAACUGAGAGGUUUAUCCCCCAGACUGGUACUGAGGCACGGACCAGACUCCUACGGGAGGCAGCAGUGAGGAAUGUUGGGCAAUGGGCGCGAGCCUGAACCAGCCGAGUCGCGUGAAGGAUGACUGUCUUAGGGAUUGUAAACUUCUUUUAUACGGGAAUAACAAGAGUCACGGGGGACUCCCUGCAUGUACCGGAUGAAUAAGCAUCGGCUAACUCCGUG
RNAcentral lists this ribosomal RNA (487 nucleotides) under uncultured bacterium. Its description in RNAcentral is "partial 16S ribosomal RNA". It matches the Rfam family "Bacterial small subunit ribosomal RNA", at positions 28 to 507 of the family's 1533-position model. The record is from RNAcentral.